Molecule: ribosomal RNA, 405 nt
Filed under: Bacillota bacterium
Lineage: Bacteria; Bacillati; Bacillota
Description: Firmicutes bacterium partial 16S ribosomal RNA
Rfam family: Bacterial small subunit ribosomal RNA
Source: RNAcentral
UCGGGAAUUUUGCCCAAUGGACGAAAGUCUGAGGCAGCAACUCCGCGUGAGGGACGAAGGCUCUAGGGUCGUAAACCUCUUUUCUCAGGGAAGAUCCAAGACGGUACCUGAGGAAUAAGCGACGGCUAACUACGUGCCAGCAGCCGCGGUAAUACGUAGGUCGCAAGCGUUGUCCGGAUUUACUGGGCGUAAAGAGCGCGCAGGCGGCUGGUCAAGUCCGAUGUGAAAUCUCCCGGCUCAACUGGGAAACUGCAUCGGAAACUGAUCGGCUUGAAGGUGGGAGAGGGUAGUGGAAUUCCCGGUGUAGUGGUGAAAUGCGUAGAUAUCGGGAGGAACACCAGUGGCGAAGGCGACUACCUGGCCCAUUCUUGACGCUGAGGCGCGAAAGCUAGGGGAGCGAACGAG